AUUGAACGCUGGCGGCAUGCCUUACACAUGCAAGUCGAACGGCAGCGGGGGAGAAGCUUGCUUUUCCUGCCGGCGAGUGGCGAACGGGUGAGUAAUACAUCGGAACGUGCCCUGUAGUGGGGGAUAACUAGUCGAAAGAUUAGCUAAUACCGCAUACGACCUGAGGGUGAAAGUGGGGGACCGCAAGGCCUCAUGCUAUAGGAGCGGCCGAUGUCUGAUUAGCUAGUUGGUGGGGUAAAGGCCUACCAAGGCGACGAUCAGUAGCUGGUCUGAGAGGACGAGCAGCCACACUGGGACUGUGACACGGCCCAGACUCCUACGGGAGGCAGCAGUGGGGAAUUUUGGACAAUGGGCGAAAGCCUGAUCCAGCAAUGCCGCGUGUGUGAAGAAGGCCUUCGGGUUGUAAAGCACUUUUGUCCGGAAAGAAAUGGCUCUGGUUAAUACCUGGGGUCGAUGACGGUACCGGAAGAAUAAGGACCGGCUAACUACGUGCCAGCCGCCGCCGUAA
This 508-nucleotide ribosomal RNA is filed under the name uncultured bacterium. RNAcentral describes it as "partial 16S ribosomal RNA". It matches the Rfam family "Bacterial small subunit ribosomal RNA", at positions 30 to 523 of the family's 1533-position model. The record is from RNAcentral.